GCCAGCAUGACAUAAUGGUUUAAGCAUUGGACUAUGACUCUGGAGGCCAAGGUUCGAAUCCUGGCUCAGCCA
Molecule: non-coding RNA, 72 nt
Organism: Phrynosoma platyrhinos (Desert horned lizard)
Lineage: Eukaryota; Metazoa; Chordata; Lepidosauria; Squamata; Phrynosomatidae
Source: the annotation of a GenBank genome assembly